GCUUUGUCUGGUGAGGAAGUAGCUGUACCCCUGCCAUGAGAGCUACCCCGUCCCUCCAGAGCCUGGGCUGCUCCUCUCCGGGCUUCAGGACAGGGCAGGGCCCUGCGGCACUGUGCAGGAGCCGCCUCUCACCUUCGUGAGAUGGGGAUUGCAAUUAGUCCUGGCCCUUUGCUUGUGCCAUCUGUCUGCUCCCCGAACAUCCCUGCAGGAUCUGUGUCUUAGCAGGUUAAUUUAAUAACCGCCUGCUUUAUUGCUGCUGGCCGUGGGCAUGGCACGGAGCAGCUGAGUAUGUCAACAGCACAGAGCAGGAAUCAAAUGCUGCCCAGAUGCUCAUUUAGGUUUGUUUUGCUGAGGGAGCGCGAACCCUCCCAUGGGCCGAGCCCUGCGUCGUUCUCCUUGGCAAGAGAUGGGUAAAAAGCAGCAGUGGAGAUUAAACCAGGCCACGGAGCCACGGAGUGCUACACCUGAGAGGUAUGGCGAGGUGAGGACAGCACGGGAGCGGCAGAAAGGUGUUGUUGGCUGGAGAGCACGGCAGCACGGAGCCCAGUGAGUCAGCCCUGCACACUGAUACAGGCAACGACUGCACUCUGACCUCCGCCUCUCGCACAGACACGAUCCGCAAAGCAUCAAGUGCUGGGAGCUGGGAAGGAAACCUCACAGACCCCAAACCGGUGUCGACUGACAGGACCUGGAGGUGGACUCCGAGCUCCAAGACCCCAAGGCGGCACCACCCGCUCGGGCUGUGCUCACGGCUGUGCUCGCGGCCGCACCGCUGCCUCUUUGUUUUCCCCGGGCCCGCCCCAGCCGCGCUCUUUGCCCCCGGCCCCACUUCCUCACUCAUUCCUCCACCCGCCGCACAAAGGCCCGGCAGCACCACAAAGACGCGCACACAAGGAACCUAAGCGAGCGUGUAAUCUCGUUAUUGUAACCCUCAUCCUCCCUUUCCCCCUUUU
This 953-nucleotide long non-coding RNA is filed under the name Gallus gallus (chicken). RNAcentral's name for it is "lncRNA (ENSGALG00010019464.1)". The record is from RNAcentral. Lineage: Eukaryota; Metazoa; Chordata; Aves; Galliformes; Phasianidae.